ACACGGAGCCGAAGCGAAAGCGAGUCUUAAGAGGGCGGAUAGUUAGUGUACGUAGACCCGAAACCGCAGUGAUCUACCCAUGUCCAGGUUGAAGCGCAGGUAAAAUUGCGUGGAGGACCGAACCUGUGAGCGUUGAAAAGCUUUAGGAUGAGAUGUGGGUAGAGGUGAAAUUCCAAUCGAACGCGGAGAUAGCUGGUUCUCCCCGAAAUAGCUUUAGGGCUAGCCUCAAGUAGUAAGUAUAGGCGGUAGAGCACUGAUCGGGCUAGGGGCCAUAAAGGUUACCGAACCCUGUCAAACUCCGAAUGGUUAUACUGUAGAGCUUGGGAGUCAGACUACGAGUGAUAAGAUCCGUGGUCAAAAGGGAAACAGCCCAGACCACCAGCUAAGGUCCCCAAUGUCGUACUAAGUGGAAAAGGAUGUGGGGUCUCUAAAACAACCAGGAUGUUGGCUUAGAAGCAGCCACCAUUUAAAGAGUGCGUAAUAGCUCACUGGUCGAGAGACCCUGCGCCGAAGAUUACCGGGGCUAAAGUACGAAACCGAAGCUGUGGCUACGACGUAAGUCGUGGGGUAGGGGAGCGUUCUGUGAGGGCUGAAGUCGUUCUGUAAGGAACGGUGGACUUCACAGAAGUGAGAAUGUUGGUAUGAGUAGCGAAAAGAAUGGUGAGAAUCCAUUCCACCGAAAGCAUAAGGAUUCCUGGGCAACGAUCGUCGUCCCAGGGUAAGUCGGGACCUAAUCCGAGGCAUGGAGCGUAGGAGAUGGACAACUGGCAGAUAUUCCAGUACCGGUAAUGAUUGUUUGAGCGAUGGAGUGACACAGGAGGGCAGGCAGGCAGGAGAUUGGUUGUUCCUGUACAAGCGUGUAGGGUGGAACGUAGGCAAAUCCGCGUUCUGUGAGCCUGAGGCGUGAUGUGGAGGUUCCGGAAACGGAACUGAAGCUGCUGACCCCACACUGUCGAGAAAAGCUUCUAGUUAGAGAAUUACCGCCCGUACCGUAAACCGACACAGGUAUGCGGGGAGAGAAUCCUAAGGUGCGCGGGAGAACCCUCGUUAAGGAACUCGGCAAAAUGUACCCGUAACUUCGGGAUAAGGGUAGCCGCUGUUGUGAAGUCUGAACAGACGGAGCAUGAGGCGGUCGCAGAGAAGAGGCCCAAGCGACUGUUUACCACAAACACAGGUGCCUGCUAAAGAGAAAUCUGACGUAUAGGUGCUGACACCUGCCCAGUGCCGGAAGGUUAAGGAAGGAUGUCCGGAGCAAUCCAAAGCAUUCGACCGAAGCCCCGGUGAACGGCGGCCGUAACUAUAACGGUCCUAAGGUAGCGAAAUUCCUUGUCGGGUAAGUUCCGACCCGCACGAAAGGUGUAACGAUUUGGGCACUGUCUCAACGAGGGACCCGGUGAAAUUGAAGUACCUGUGAAGAUGCAGGUUACCCGCGACUGGACAGAAAGACCCCAUGGAGCUUUACUGUAACCUGACAUUGGGUUCUGAUACAUCACGUACAGGAUAGGUGGGAGGCAUGGAAGCGAGGACGCUAGUCUUCGUGGAGCCGCCGUUGGGAUACCACCCUUGAUGUAUCGGAAUUCUAACCGUAGGAGUAACGAAACUCGGGACAGUGUCAGGCGGGCAGUUUGACUGGGGCGGUCGCCUCCCAAAGAGUAACGGAGGCGCCCAAAGGUUCCCUCAGCGCGGCCGGAAAUCGCGCGAAGAGUGUAAAGGCAGAAGGGAGCUUGACUGAGAGCCAAACACGGCGAUCAGGUACGAAAGUAGGGCUUAGUGAUCCGGUGGCAUCCAAGUGGAAGGGCCAUCGCUCAACGGAUAAAAGCUACCCUGGGGAUAACAGGCUAAUCUCUCCCAAGAGUCCAUAUCGACGGGGAGGUUUGGCACCUCGAUGUCGGCUCAUCACAUCCUGGGGCUGAAGUCGGUCCCAAGGGUUGGGCUGUUCGCCCAUUAAAGUGGUACGUGAGCUGGGUUCAGAACGUCGUGAGACAGUUCGGUCCCUAUCCAUCGCGGGCGCAAGAGAUUUGAAGGGGGCUGCUCCUAGUACGAGAGGACCGGAGUGGACGAACCAAUGGUGUACCAAUUAUCUCGCCAGAGGUAUAGUUGGGUAGCUACGUUCGGAAAGGAUAAACGCUGAAAGCAUCUAAGCGUGAAACCAGCCUUAAGAUGAGAUCUCUCAUAGAGUAAUCUAGUAAGACACCUUGGAGAAGACGAGGUUGAUAGGUCGGGAGUGUAAGUACAGUAAUGUAUUCAGCGGACCGAUACUAAUAUGUCGAGGGCUUGACUUA
This 2282-nucleotide ribosomal RNA is filed under the name human gut metagenome. RNAcentral describes it as "bacterial LSU rRNA". It matches the Rfam family "Bacterial large subunit ribosomal RNA", at positions 658 to 2925 of the family's 2925-position model. The record is from RNAcentral.